AUACGGAGGAUGCAAGCGUUAUCCGGAUUUAUUGGGUUUAAAGGGUGCGUAGGCGGUUUGCUAAGCGGGAGGUGAAAUGCCGGCGCUCAACGUCGGAAGUGCCUCCCGAACUGGUGGACUUGAAUGACUCUGCCGUGGGAGGAAUGUGUAGUGUAGCGGUGAAAUGCUUAGAGAUUACACAGAACACCGAUUGCGAAGGCAUCUCACGAAGGGUUGAUUGACGCUGAGGCACGAAAGCGUGGGGAUCAAACAGGAUAGAUACCCUGGUAGUCCACGCAGUAAACGAUGAUGGCUAACCGCUGGGCUUAUCAGUUCAGUGGCCAAGCGAAAGCGAUAAGCCAUCCACCUGGGGAGUACGACCGCAAGGUUGAAACUCAAAGGAAUUGACGGGG
This 392-nucleotide ribosomal RNA is filed under the name uncultured bacterium. RNAcentral describes it as "partial 16S ribosomal RNA". It matches the Rfam family "Bacterial small subunit ribosomal RNA", at positions 523 to 918 of the family's 1533-position model. The record is from RNAcentral.